UUUUUUUUUUUUUUUAAAAGAUUUAUUUAUUCAGAGAGAGCGCAAGAGAGGCAGAGACACAGGCAGAGGGAGAAGCAGGCAUCAUACAGAGAGCCUGAUGUGGGACUUGAUCCAGGGUCUCCAGGAUCACACCCCGGGCUGCAAGCGGCGCUAAACUGCUGCGCCACCAGGGCUGCCCUUCCACAGUGUUUUUAAGCCCCAAACACAUACUUAACCAGAUGUUCUUUUUCCUGAACCUUUAGCCUUUUAUUUUUCCCUUUGUCAUAGAAACAUUUAACCUAUUAUGGUAUCUGUUUGGCAUAUUCCUAAACCUGGUGACUGCAACCUCCUGGAAUGUAAGGAUCAAAGGUCAUGGUCAUUUUUAUAUCCCCUGCAAUGCUCAGCACAGUGUUUUUCUCCCAUAGUGGUUACUAAGUAAAUAUUUAUUAACUAAUAACCUCUUAGUUUUGUUUUCACUCUCUCUGUACUAUUACUUUUCCAAUCAGUAAAAACUGUUUGUUGGAUGUGUUUUAUGCUCUCUUUAUAGCUUCCUCCACCUAUACACAUUGCAUAAAAGUACUGAUGAAAGUUUAGUUACUUAAAAAAAAAAUAAAUUUCCUUUUCAAUCUUCAGGGAUCACCAGCACCUUGUCAACAGUCCACCAAUGAUGUAAUUCUACUUUUCUAGAGAUGAGUUCUGUGAAAGCUUUUUUGCAAACAUUUUCUGCAUAACUUAAUGGUAAUUUUGUUGUUGGUAGAGGUAAGAAUGUCUAGCUUACAACUAACUAUUCCUAACAUUCCCCUACUAAACCGUGAAACCUGCUCUUACAUUAAAUUGUGUAGAUGAAUGACCAACAAUUGGGAAGGGUAUGUAACGAAAAGAACUUGUUAAAAUCUACUUUCUUCUAAUAAGAGCACACUAAAAAUUUUAAAACUGUUGCUGAUCAAACUUUACUGUGGUUACAUUUGUAUAUUAGCGCAUUGACUAACAAAGCACUCAAGUGGAUAGGUAUGCUACAUGGGGAAAGCCAAGAACCAGGCAGUCCCCAGUACCACAUAAGUAGCCCUCUUUUGUAUAUAUAAAACUCUCAAGGAAAAAAAAAAAAUGAUUGUCCACUUAAAUCAGAAGGCCCUUGAGGACCAAGACUGUCUUUAAUCUGCUUGUCUCUCCCAGGGCCCAGCAGAAUAUCUGGUACUUCUAAGGACCACUGGGUGAAUGAAUGAAUGAAUGACUAGUGAUAUUUUACUACAUUACCCAGAUAGAUCUGAUUCAUAAUCCUUUAGCACCAUUGACAAAUAUCUAGUUUCAGAUUCUUAAUUUAUCUGAUGUCUUAGUCUAUUCAGGCUACCAUAACAAAAUACUGCAGUCAGGGUGGCUUAUAAACAACAAAUAUUUAUUCUUCAUACUUUUAAAGUCUGUGAAGCCCAAAAUCAAAGUAAAAGCAUGGUCAUGUUUUGGUGAGGGCCUUCUUUCUGGGUUAGUUGACAACUUGUCACCAUUUCCUCUCAUAAUGGAAGGGCUAGGGAUCUCUCUGGGAACUCUUUCAUAAGGCAUUAAUCUUAUUCAUGAAGGCUCUCCUCCUCAAUGUAAGCAGUUCCCAAAGUUCCCACAUCCUAACACCAUCAUCUUUGGAUCUGGGAUUCCCUCAAGAGCUGAGUUUUGUCAGGGUUAUAGGGUUUUAGCUAACAUAUGGAAAUGGAAAAGUUGAUACCUACUGAUCAUUCCUUUAGCUAGAUCAUAACAUUUCAUUCAGUUAACACCUACAGGCUCUCUGACUUCUGUGUUACCUGAGAUCAGGUUAAAUCCAAUAGGGAAGCUACAUUGUAGUCCAGUUCCCAUCUUCCAAACUGUGGACAGGCCUACAAAGUUCAUGAGUUCCUAAAAUUAACCUACGCAUGAAAGAUUUAGAGUGAGGGCACUCUUUCGUUCGUUCUUACCUCCACUAUGAUCCUA
This 1932-nucleotide long non-coding RNA is filed under the name Canis lupus familiaris (dog). RNAcentral describes it as "lncRNA (ENSCAFG00000054472.1)". Lineage: Eukaryota; Metazoa; Chordata; Mammalia; Carnivora; Canidae. The record is from RNAcentral.